Molecule: ribosomal RNA, 460 nt
Filed under: uncultured bacterium
Lineage: Bacteria
Description: partial 16S ribosomal RNA
Rfam family: Bacterial small subunit ribosomal RNA
Source: RNAcentral
CCUACGGGGAGCAGCAGUGAGGAAUGUUGGUCAAUGGCCGGAAGGCUGAACCAGCCAUGCCGCGUGAAGGUCAGUGCCCUAUGGGCGUUAAACUUCUUUUGUGCGGGAGCAAUAAUGGUCACGUGUGGCCAGACGAGAGUACCGUACGAAUAAGCAUCGGCUAACUCCGUGCCAGCAGCCGCGGUAAUACGGGGGUUGCAAGCGUUAUCCGGAUUUAUUGGGUUUAAAGGGUGCGUAGGCUGUGAGGUAAGUCAGCGGUGAAAUGCCCCCGCUCAACGGGGUGAAGUGCCAUUGAUACUGCCUGGCUGGAAUGCGGAUGCCGUGGGAGGAAUGUGUGGUGUAGCGGUGAAAUGCAUAGAUAUCACACAGAACACCGAUUGCGAAGGCAUCUCACGAAUCCGCGAUUGACGCUGAUGCACGAAAGCGUGGGUAUCAAACAGGAUUAGAUACCCUUGUAGUC